UCCCAUGUAGUUUUAUUAGGAAGAGAUACAGAGAGCUCCAGAGAGGCGUCUGUCUGCUGACUCAUUCUCCAAAUGUCUGCCACAGCCAGGGCUGGGCCAGGCUGAAGUCAGGAACCCAGAACUCCCUCUUAGUCUCCAGGAAGUUGAGUUCCAGGGCCAUCGUUCUCUGCUUCCCAGGCAGGAUAGCAGGGAGAUGGAUCAGAAGCGGAGCAGCCAGGACCAAGCAGCUUGAGAUGCUGGCAUCGCCAGCUUCACCUGCUGCGCCAAUACCCUGCCCCCCUAGUCCACACGGUUUUAACAGUUCACUAAGUAAAAAAAAUAACUGCCCACAGCAAGAGGCAAGUUAAUGGAAGGUGAGGGUGGCGCCUCACACUGCCCGGGUGGCUGUAGUCGAAGGGUAGCUAAGCAGUGUUUCCCAGGGUGUGAGGAGACCGGAGCCGCCUCUGCUGGGGAAAGAAGCAUAAACGCCCAGCACUGUGCUCCCUGGAAUACAAACACCCGAGCGAGCUGGAGCUGUGUGCCGCCGUGGCCCGCUGCCUCCUGCGUGCUCACCGCAGCACUGGUCCCAGUGAGCCCCAGGACCCCUCCGUGGGCGACGGGACCAACCCACGCAUACAGCAGGCUGGGAUCCAGCCACGGAGAGGAAAGGCCAGGUGCUGACGCUGUGGUGCACGGGACCUGGAAGCAUGAUCGUGUGACGCGGAGGCUGCAUCAGAGGACCGGGGCCAGAGUGGUUCUCAAGACGAUGUCAUCAUGGCUGGCGUUCAAGCAUCUGCCUAUGGCGCCAGCAUCCCAUAUGGGCGCCGGUUCGAGUCCCGGCUGCACACUUCUGAUCCAGCUCUCUGGGAAAGCAGUAGAAGAUGGUCCAAGUGCUUGGGACCCUGCACCUGUGUGGGAGACUUGGAAGAAACUCCUGGCCCUUGGCUUUGGAUUGGCUCAGCUCCAGCUGUCAUAGCCAUUUGGGGAGUGAACCAGUGGAUGGGAAGACCUCUCUCUCUGUCUCUCCCUUUCUGUAACGAUGCCUCUCAAGUAAGCAAAUAAAUCUGAAACUAAAAAUAUAUGACGUUCUUUG
RNAcentral lists this long non-coding RNA (1072 nucleotides) under Oryctolagus cuniculus (rabbit). RNAcentral's name for it is "lncRNA (ENSOCUG00000032961.1)". Lineage: Eukaryota; Metazoa; Chordata; Mammalia; Lagomorpha; Leporidae. The record is from RNAcentral.